UACGAAGGGGGCUAGCGUUGCUCGGAAUGACUGGGCGUAAAGGGCGCGUAGGCGGAUUGAUUAGUUAGGCGUGAAAUUCCUGGGCUUAACCUGGGGGCUGCGCUUAAUACAGUCAGUCUUGAGUAUGGAAGAGGGUCGUGGAAUUCCCAGUGUAGAGGUGAAAUUCGUAGAUAUUGGGAAGAACACCGGUGGCGAAGGCGGCGACCUGGUCCAUUACUGACGCUGAGGCGCGAAAGCGUGGGGAG
This 245-nucleotide ribosomal RNA is filed under the name uncultured bacterium. RNAcentral's name for it is "partial 16S ribosomal RNA". It matches the Rfam family "Bacterial small subunit ribosomal RNA", at positions 524 to 768 of the family's 1533-position model. The record is from RNAcentral.